CCAGGCCCCCGGGGCUCCAGGAGGGGCGUCCUGGCGGCUUCUGGCCCCCCACCCGCAUCCUCCCGCCCUUCACUUGCUGCCCCUGGGUCUCCUGGAUUUCUUGUGUCACUGCAGCCAAGGCUGGGGCAACAAGACUUUUAGAAGACAGUGUGAGGUGAUCAAGGAAGCUGGAAACCAAGAUGCCUGGGAUCCCCGGAAGGGCUGAGUUUGAGGGUGAAGUGGUGAGUUCCAGGGAGCCAGGGGACAAGUCUACCAAAGGAGAUGGAGGAGCAGGCUUCUGUCCUGUCUCUGGUCUAAGCAAAAGGAAUCCUCACUGCACCCUUGUGGUCAAGGGAGCAAUGGGAAUUUCUGAGUUCUCUUCAUUGUCUGCCAAGGGCCUCAGGAGACUGGAUUGGGAGUAUCACCCACUUCCCUCACAAUGUUUUCUUGCACUUCAUCCAUGGAUUACCACGGAACACUUCCUGCCUCCAGAAAUGCCCGAAAGGCAAGUGGGCACCAGCAUCUUUAUUUAUUCUGCUCUGGACAGACAUUGCUGCAGAACUGUUAAGAAUCAAUGGCCUUCCAGAGAUAGUUCACCUUGAACUCCCCAGAGGAUUUAACCAUGGCUACUCCAUCUGACCUCUCUACUACUGGUACUUUCACUUCUGCUGAAACGACUAUGACUACUCCUGCUAAAACCACCUCUGAUGGUUUCUGGGAAUGGCUUUACAAACUGAUACAUUUUGAUUGGUGGCAUCACUGACAUGGCAUCAGUACAUGUGCUGGUUAGCCUUUGUGCCCUGGGUUCUUCUGGGGCAGAAUGUAUUCACCCCACCCAAUUGCCUGUC
This is a long non-coding RNA of Choloepus didactylus (southern two-toed sloth), 827 nucleotides long. RefSeq lists it as uncharacterized. The record is from RefSeq and is a predicted model, not a curated record. The transcript is spliced from 7 exons. Lineage: Eukaryota; Metazoa; Chordata; Mammalia; Pilosa; Megalonychidae.